CCGGGUGGCGAGCGGCGGACGGGUGAGUAAUGCCUAGGAAUCUGCCUGGUAGUGGGGAAUAACGCUCGGAAACGGACGCUAAUACCGCAUACGUCCUACGGGAGAAAGCAGGGGACCUUCGGGCCUUGCGCUAUCAGAUGAGCCUAGGUCGGAUUAGCUAGUUGGUGGGGUAAUGGCUCACCAAGGCGACGAUCCGUAACUGGUCUGAGAGGAUGAUCAGUCACACUGGAACUGAGACACGGUCCAGACUCCUACGGGAGGCAGCAGUGGGGAAUAUUGGACAAUGGGGGGAACCCUGAUCCAGCCAUGCCGCGUGUGUGAAGAAGGCCUUUUGGUUGUAAAGCACUUUAAGCGAGGAGGAGGCUCCUUUAGUUAAUACCUAAAGUGAGUGGACGUUACUCGCAGAAUAAGCACCGGCUAACUCUGUGCCAGCAGCCGCGGUAAUACAGAGGGUGCGAGCGUUAAUCGGAUUUACUGGGCGUAAAGCGUGCGUAGGUGGCCAAUUAAGUCAAAUGUGAAAUCCCUGAGCUUAACUUAGGA
Molecule: ribosomal RNA, 540 nt
Filed under: uncultured Pseudomonadales bacterium
Lineage: Bacteria; Pseudomonadati; Pseudomonadota; Gammaproteobacteria; Pseudomonadales
Description: bacterial SSU rRNA
Rfam family: Bacterial small subunit ribosomal RNA
Source: RNAcentral